Molecule: non-coding RNA, 83 nt
Organism: Podarcis lilfordi (Lilford's wall lizard)
Lineage: Eukaryota; Metazoa; Chordata; Lepidosauria; Squamata; Lacertidae
Source: the annotation of a GenBank genome assembly
UCCUGGAUAGCUCAGUUGGUAGAGCACGAGACUCUUAAUCUCAGGGUCAUGAGUUCAAGCAGAAAAUUCCCGCAUUUCAGGGG